GUGUCAGCAGCCGCGGUAAUACGUAGGUGGCAAGCGUUGUCCGGAAUUAUUGGGCGUAAAGCGCUCGCAGGCGGUCCUCUAAGUCUGAUGUGAAAUCUCGCGACUCAACCGCGAACGGUCAUUGGAAACUGGAGGACUUGAGUACAGAAGAGGAGAGUGGAAUUCCACGUGUAGCGGUGAAAUGCGUAGAGAUGUGGAGGAACACCAGUGGCGAAGGCGACUCUCUGGUCCGUAACUGACGCUGAGGAGCGAAAGCGUGGGGAGCGAACAGGAUUAGAAACCCCCGUAGUCC
RNAcentral lists this ribosomal RNA (292 nucleotides) under uncultured prokaryote. Its description in RNAcentral is "partial 16S ribosomal RNA". It matches the Rfam family "Bacterial small subunit ribosomal RNA", at positions 505 to 796 of the family's 1533-position model. The record is from RNAcentral.